AUGAGGCUUCAUGAGCAUAAUUAUCCUCUUCCUCUUCCCCAUGCACGAGUGGGCGCACCGCCGCCGCCACCGCCUUCCUCGCGGAGUCUGCGAUCGAAGGAUCGGUUGGGGCGCACCGGGUCUAGGCCGGCCUUCUGUGGGGCGCAGUGCGAGCUCUCGGCUCGGGGCAGGAGGUGGCUCGAUGAAGAGGAGCUGGGGCACGGCGCUCCUCUCCUGGUGUGGCGCACGAGGGAAGGAGGAGGGGAUCGACCCAAGACAGGAGCUGAGGCCGGCGGCGCCCUUCACACAAGCCUCACCGGCGGUGCCCUCUACACAAGCCUCACUGGCGGUGCCCUCUACACAAGCCUCACCGGCGGUGCGGCGGGAGAGCUCCUACCCGUCCAUAGGUGCGGGGAUGCAGAUCCGCGUCGCCAGCCUGUACUAGGCCGAGGUUGA
RNAcentral lists this ribosomal RNA (435 nucleotides) under Triticum aestivum (bread wheat). RNAcentral describes it as "partial small subunit ribosomal RNA". Lineage: Eukaryota; Viridiplantae; Streptophyta; Magnoliopsida; Poales; Poaceae. The record is from RNAcentral.